AGAGGUCCUUCCGGGAGUCCAGCUGACACAGGUCUCGGCCAGGGCUCUACCUGCGCUCAGGAUUGGAAAAGCUGUGCGCAAUGAGAGGCGCGUUGGUUCUCCGCAACGGGGAGCAGAAACCGGCCUGGGUCAGCCAGUGGACUGGUUGGAAGCAGAGAACUGAAAGAAAACCAACACCCUAGUGAGGCCAAGGGAGAUUUUAAAGGCUGAAGCAGAAGGAUCUCAAGUUCAAGCCAGAUUCCUUAGGGAGCAUUUGCCUCCAUAAAAUAACCCUAACUGUUGUCAAGUGACAGUGAACUCCAGUGACCAUCAGACAAGGAAGUUUUCCAGUUUCAUGAAGUCCCAUUUAUCAAUUCUUGAUCUUAGAGCCUGAGCCAUUGGAGUUCUGAUCAGGAAAUGUUCCCUUGUGCCAAGGAGUUCAAGGCUCUUUCCCACCUUUUCUUCUAUUGGAUUCAGUGUAUCUGGUUUUGUGUUGAGGUCCUUGAUCCACUUGUGUUGGGAGCCGCGCCCACAUUCGCCGUUACAAGAUGGCGCUGACAUCCUGUGUUCUAAGUGGUAAACAAAUAAUCUGCGCAUGUGCCAAGGGUUUUUAUGACUACUUGUGCUCUGCCUUCCCCGUGACGUCAACUCGGCCGAUGGGCUGCAGCCAAUCAGGGAGUGACACGUCCUAGGCGAAAUAUAACUCUCCUAAAAAAGGGACGGGGUUUCGUUUUCUCUCUCUCUUGCUUCUUGCACUCCUGCUCCUGAAGAUGUAAGCAAUAAAGUUUUGCCGCAGAAGA
RNAcentral lists this long non-coding RNA (779 nucleotides) under Mus musculus (house mouse). RNAcentral describes it as "predicted gene, 26782". The record is from RNAcentral. Lineage: Eukaryota; Metazoa; Chordata; Mammalia; Rodentia; Muridae.